RNAcentral lists this ribosomal RNA (500 nucleotides) under uncultured Glomeromycotina. RNAcentral's name for it is "partial small subunit ribosomal RNA". It matches the Rfam family "Eukaryotic small subunit ribosomal RNA", at positions 591 to 1092 of the family's 1831-position model. The record is from RNAcentral. Lineage: Eukaryota; Fungi; Glomeromycota.
CCAAUAGCGUAUAUUAAAGUUGUUGCAGUUAAAAAGCUCGUAGUUGAAUUUUGGGUCUGGCCGGGCGGUCCGCCCUCCGGGUGAGCACUGUUCCGACGCCGGGCCUAUCCUUCUGGUGAGUCGGCAUGUCCUUUAUUGGGUGUGUCGGGGAACCAGGACCAUUACCUUGAAAAAAUUAGAGUGUUCAAAGCAGGCGUAUGCUCGGAUACAUUAGCAUGGAAUAAUGAAAUAGGACGCGUGGUGCUAUUUUGUUGGUUUCUAGAACCGCCGUAAUGAUUAAUAGGGAUAGUUGGUGGCAUUAGUAUUCAAUUGUCAGCGGUGAAAUGCUUGGAUUUAUUGAAGACUAACUUCUGCGAAAGCAUUUGCCAAGGAUGUGUUCAUUAAUCAAGAACGAAAGUUAGGGGAUCGAAGACGAUCAGAUACCGUCGUAGUCUUAACCAUAAACUAUGCCGACUAGGAAUCGGGCGAUGUUAUUCUCAUGACUCGCCCGGCGCCUUAUG